AUGGCAACUCUUAAGGAAAAACUCAUUGCACCAGUUGGAGAAUAAGAAGUGAUGGUCCCAAACAAUAAGAUUACUAUAGAGAGUGUUGGACAAGUUGGUAUGGCAUUCUGGGAAAGUUUCCGGCUGAUGAACUUGCUCUUGUGGAUGUUUUGGAGGAUAAGCUUAAAGGAGAAAUGAUGAAUCUGUAGCAUGGGACCUUAUUUCUUCAUAUGCCUAAAAUUGUGGCAGAUAAAGAUCAUUCUGUGACCAUCAAUUCUAAGAUUGUAAUGAUAACUGCAGGAGUCCGUCAACAAGAUGGGGAGAGUCGUCUCAAUCUGGUGCAGAGAAAUCUUAAUGUCUUCAAAUUCAUUAUUCCUCAGAUCAUCAGGUACAGUCCUGAUGGCAUCAUAAUUGUGGUUUCCCAACCAGUAGAUAUUCUUAUGUUACCUGGAAACUAAGUGGAUUACCCAAACACUGUGUGAUUGGAAGUGGAUGUAAUCUGGAUUCUGCUAGAUUUUGCUACGUUAUGGCUGAAAAAUUUGGCAUUUAUCCCAGCAGCUGCCAUGGAUGGAAUUUGGGAGAAUAUGGCAACUAAAGUGUGGCUAUGUGGAGUGGCGUGAAUGUGGCAGGUGUUUCUCUACAGGAACUGAAUCCAGAAAUGGGAACGGACAAUGAUAGUGAAAAUCAGAAGGAAGUGCAUAAGAUGGUGGCUGAAAGUGCCUAUGAGGUCAUCAAGCUGAAAGGAUAUACCAACUGGGCUACCGGAUUAAGUGUGCAGAUCUUAUUGAAUCCAUGUGAAAGUCUACCCAGGAUUCAACCCAUGUCAACGAUGGUAAAGGGGAUGUUUGGCAUUGAGAAUGAAGUCUUUCUGAGCCUUCUGUGUAUCCUCAAUGCCCAGGGAUUAACCAGCAUUAUAAACCGGAAGCUCAAGGAUGAUGCGGUUGCUGAGCUCAGGAAAAGCGCAGAUACCCUAUGGGACAUCCUACAAGUCCCAAAGAAGGACCUAAAAGUCCUGUGACUACUGGGCUCUAGGCUGCAGAAGUUUAAAAACUACAAGGAGAUUAACUCUGAGCCUUUAGUUUUCAUCCAUGUACAUGGAUCGCAGUUUGCUUUGAUCUUCAAUAUGUGAAUUUGGGCUCACAGAAUCAAAGCCUAUGCUGGGUUUAAUGCUUGCAAUAUGAGUUCUUGAACAAAUAAAAUUAACUUCUGUAGUGUG
Callithrix jacchus (white-tufted-ear marmoset) is the source of this 1195-nucleotide non-coding RNA. Lineage: Eukaryota; Metazoa; Chordata; Mammalia; Primates; Cebidae. The record is from RefSeq and is a predicted model, not a curated record.